This 269-nucleotide ribosomal RNA is filed under the name uncultured prokaryote. Its description in RNAcentral is "partial 16S ribosomal RNA". It matches the Rfam family "Bacterial small subunit ribosomal RNA", at positions 524 to 792 of the family's 1533-position model. The record is from RNAcentral.
UACGUAGGAGGCGAGCGUUAUCCGGAUUUACUGGGCGUAAAGAGGGCGUAGGCGGCCUUUCAAGUUGGAUGUGAAAUAUCCCAGCUCAACUGGGAGGAGUCAUUCAAUACUGUUAGGCUAGAGGGCAGCAGAGGGAGGUGGAAUUCCCGGUGUAGUGGUGAAAUGCGUAGAUAUCGGGAGGAACACCAGUGGCGAAGGCGGCCUCCUGGGCUGUUACUGACGCUGAGGCCCGAAAGCGUGGGGAGCAAACAGGAUUAGAUACCCCCGUA